UGGGGAAUUUUGCACAAUGGGGGCAACCCUGAUGCAGCGACGCCGCGUGAUUUAGAAGGCCUUCGGGUUGUAAAAAUCUUUUGUAUGGGAAGAAAAUGACAGUACCAUACGAAUAAGGACCGGCUAAUUACGUGCCAGCAGCCGCGGUAAUACGUAAGGUCCGAGCGUUGUCCGGAAUCAUUGGGCGUAAAGGGUACGUAGGCGGAUAAGCAAGUUAGAAGUGAAAUCCUAUAGCUCAACUAUAGUAAGCUUUUAAAACUGCUCAUCUUGGGGUAUGGAAGGGAAAGUGGAAUUCCUAGUGUAGCGGUGAAAUGCGCAGAUAUUAGGAGGAAUACCGGUGGCGAAGGCGACUGUCUGGCCAUAAACUGACGCUGAGGUACGAAAGCGUGGGUAGCAAACAGG
Molecule: ribosomal RNA, 402 nt
Filed under: Actinomycetes bacterium
Lineage: Bacteria; Bacillati; Actinomycetota; Actinomycetes
Description: Actinobacteria bacterium partial 16S ribosomal RNA
Rfam family: Bacterial small subunit ribosomal RNA
Source: RNAcentral